GGAAAGUCCCAAUUCCUAGUCUAUAAAAGGGGAGCCCUCUCUUGGACAUCCCAUGAUCAAUUCUCUUGUGGAUUUUUUAUUUUCAAAGCCUCUUCUUCUCCUCCUCUCUUCCUCCUCCAAAUUUUCUAUCACUUUGGAGUGUCCAAGGUGCUUGUAGAAGAAAAAAGAGAUCAGCUGUCGAAGUUGUUCGCAGACUAGCAUCUCCGAGGCCUUGAUCUGCACCAGUCUUCACAAAGAUUUUUCUAUAGAGAAUAGAUGACUUCGUGUGGCUGUGAGUGACCUGAGGAACACCCUCUCCAAUGGUUCGACCAGAGGAGAUCAAGAUC
RNAcentral lists this long non-coding RNA (326 nucleotides) under Elaeis guineensis (African oil palm). RNAcentral describes it as "long non-coding RNA (EGUI_LNC053879)". The record is from RNAcentral. Lineage: Eukaryota; Viridiplantae; Streptophyta; Magnoliopsida; Arecales; Arecaceae.